Lontra canadensis (Northern American river otter) is the source of this 270-nucleotide long non-coding RNA. RefSeq lists it as uncharacterized. The record is from RefSeq and is a predicted model, not a curated record. The transcript is spliced from 3 exons. Lineage: Eukaryota; Metazoa; Chordata; Mammalia; Carnivora; Mustelidae.
GGACAGGAGACUGUGUGGAGUGCUGCCAACGUGGCAGUGGAGGAGGACUCUGGCUGCCUGUCACGUGGAGAAGAAACCCUAGAGGCAAAGGUGGGAGCAGGGAGCCCAACUCCGCAGCUAGUGCAGGAGGGGUAAAAACAAAAUUGGUAUGGAUGUUAAAAUGUCAACAACUACCACAGAAUGUCAACGUCGGAAUGUCAUGAAUCACUGCAGAUGUCUCCAUCUGGUUGCUCGAAUUUCUUUCCUCCAGUGUUGUAUGUACUACUGCCA